UACGUAGGAGGCGAGCGUUGUCCGGAAUCACUGGGCGUAAAGCGCGUGUAGGCGGAUGACUAAGUUUGCUGUGAAAGCGCCUGGCUUAACUGGGCGAGGUCGGCGAAAACUAGUCGUCUGGAGGCCGGUAGAGGGGGGUGGAAUUCCGGGUGUAGUGGUGAAAUGCGUAGAGAUCCGGAGGAACACCCGUGGCGCAGGCGGCCCCCUGGGCCGCGCCUGACGCUGAGACGCGAAAGCGCGGGGAGCGAACGGGAUUAGAUACCCCGGUAGUCCGCGCAGUAAACGAUGUCCACUAGGUGUGGGGGGUAUCGAGCCCCUCCGUGCCGUAGCUAACGCAGUAAGUGGACCGCCUGGGGAGUACGGCCGCAAGGUUAAA
RNAcentral lists this ribosomal RNA (376 nucleotides) under uncultured bacterium. Its description in RNAcentral is "bacterial SSU rRNA". It matches the Rfam family "Bacterial small subunit ribosomal RNA", at positions 524 to 898 of the family's 1533-position model. The record is from RNAcentral.